This 498-nucleotide ribosomal RNA is filed under the name uncultured bacterium. Its description in RNAcentral is "partial 16S ribosomal RNA". It matches the Rfam family "Bacterial small subunit ribosomal RNA", at positions 28 to 507 of the family's 1533-position model. The record is from RNAcentral.
GACGAACGCUGGCGGCGUGCCUAAUACAUGCAAGUCGAACGAGAGCGCCCGGUGCUUGCACUGGUCAAUCUAGUGGCGAACGGGUGAGUAACACGUGGGUAACCUGCCCAUCAGAGGGGGAUAACAUCCGGAAACGGAUGCUAAAACCGCAUAGGUCUUCGAACCGCAUGGUUUGAAGAGGAAAAGAGGCGCAAGCUUCUGCUGAUGGAUGGACCCGCGGUGCAUUAGCUAGUUGGUGAGGUAACGGCUCACCAAGGCCGUGAUGCAUAGCCGACCUGAGAGGGGGAUCGCCAACAUUGGGACUGAGACCGGCCCCAACCCCCUGCGGGAGGCGCCAGUAGGAAUUCUUCCGGAAGGGCGGCAAGUCGGACGGACCACCGCCGCGGGAGGAAAAAGGGUUUUCGGAUCGUAAACCUCUUUUGUUGGAGAAAAACAGGUGCUGAAUAAAUUUUUAGCGCCUGGACGGUAUCUAACAAGAAAGCCCCGGCUAACUACGUG